Molecule: non-coding RNA, 472 nt
Organism: Macaca mulatta (Rhesus monkey)
Lineage: Eukaryota; Metazoa; Chordata; Mammalia; Primates; Cercopithecidae
Source: RefSeq, a predicted model, not a curated record
AAUUUUCAUGGCCAUGGGACAAAGAACCCCAUCUUUAGCUGAACAAUGGAAAAGUUCUGCAACAUUUUUGACCCACAACUUGGGGGCUCAAGUGGAGAAGCGGACGGAUCAUCAGCUCCCUGCCACUCUCCCCUCCUUGCCAGGGCUGGGACACAUGGGUCAAGGUGCAGCGGAAGGCUGGCUGGCGUUUUCCACCAUGUGCCCAUGCAGUCUCCUCCUCCCGGAGUCGGGAAGCCCAGCUCCAACCCACAGCAAUUAAACUUAUCUCCCUGGUGAAGGAAACACUUGCAUAAGAAUAAGAGGUUCUUCCGCAGGCAUUUUAAAACCUUUUUUUCUUUCCUCUUCUCUACAGUAUCAGCAGUUAAGUUUAAGCAAGUUUUUUUCUUUCUAGAAGACAUUUUACUAGGCGAGAAAUGAUAAGAAUCUCUGUGUAUAUUCUCUGUAAAGCUUUAAUUGUGAAAAAUGACUUGUA